RNAcentral lists this ribosomal RNA (497 nucleotides) under uncultured bacterium. RNAcentral describes it as "partial 16S ribosomal RNA". It matches the Rfam family "Bacterial small subunit ribosomal RNA", at positions 28 to 507 of the family's 1533-position model. The record is from RNAcentral.
GAUGAACGCUGGCGGCGUGCCUAAUACAUGCAAGUCGAGCGAACCGACGAGGAGCUUGCUCCUCCGACGUUAUCGGCGGACGGGUGAGUCACACGUGGAUAACCUACCUAUCAGACUGGGAUAACUUCGGGAAACCGUAGCUAAUACCGGAUAAUAUAUUGAACCGCAUUGUUCAAUAGUGAAAGACGGUUUUGCUGUCACUUAUAGAUUGAUCCGCCCCGCAUCAGCUAGUUGGUAAGGUAACGGCUUACCAACGCGACGAUGCGGAGCCGACCCAAGGGGGUGAUCGGCCACCAGGGAGCUGAGACAGGGUCCAGACUCCGACGGGAGGCAGCAGCAGGGAAUCUUCCGGGAGGGGCGAAAGGGGGACGGAGCAAAGCCGCGUAAGUGAUGAAGGUGUUCGGAUCGGUGAGCGAUGUUGUUAGGGAGGUGCAAAUGUGUAAGUAACUAUGCACAUCUUGACAGUACCGAGACAAAAAGCCACGGCUAACUACGUG